This is a long non-coding RNA of Oncorhynchus keta (chum salmon), 248 nucleotides long. RefSeq lists it as uncharacterized. The record is from RefSeq and is a predicted model, not a curated record. The transcript has 3 exons. NCBI's taxonomy places the organism in Eukaryota, Metazoa, Chordata, Actinopteri, Salmoniformes, Salmonidae.
UAUAACUAGUUAAAGGCUUCAGGUUAUAACUAGUUGACUAGUUAAAGGCUACAGGUUAUAACUAGUUAAAGGCUACAGGUUAUAACUAGUUGACUAGUUAAAGGCUACAGGUUAUAACUAAUUAAAGGCUAUAGGUUAUAACUAGUUAAAGGCUACAGGUUAUAACUAGUUAAAGGCUGUAGGUUAUAACUAGUUAAAGGCUACAGGUUAUACCUUGACCUCCUCAAGUUACGUGCAGGAAAAACUCC